UGGGGAAUUUUGGACAAUGGGGGCAACCCUGAUCCAGCCAUGCCGUGUGAGUGAAGAAGGCCUUCGGGUUGUAAAGCUCUUUCGGCGGGGACGAAACGGUUCGUGACAACACCACGGACUAAUGACGGUACCCGCAUAAGAAGCACCGGCUAACUACGUGCCAGCAGCCGCGGUAAUACGUAGGGUGCAAGCGUUAAUCGGAAUUACUGGGCGUAAAGCGUGCGCAGGCGGUUGUGUAAGUCAGAUGUGAAAUCCCCGGGCUCAACCUGGGAAUUGCAUUUGAGACUGCACGGCUAGAGUGUGUCAGAGGGGGGUAGAAUUCCACGUGUAGCAGUGAAAUGCGUAGAUAUGUGGAGGAAUACCGAUGGCGAAGGCAGCCCCCUGGGAUAACACUGACGCUCAUGCACGAAAGCGUGGGGAGCAAACAGGAUUAGAUACCCCAGUAGUCCCUGAGCGGGCUGGCAAGGCGCAU
Molecule: ribosomal RNA, 472 nt
Filed under: uncultured bacterium
Lineage: Bacteria
Description: bacterial SSU rRNA
Rfam family: Bacterial small subunit ribosomal RNA
Source: RNAcentral